GAUGAAGACGUAGCGAAAUGCGAUAAGUAAUGUGAAUUGCAGAAUUCAGUGAAUCAUCGAAUCUUUGAACGCACCUUGCACCCUUUGGCAUUCUGAAGGGUAUGCUCGUUUGAGUGUCAUUGUACUCUCACACUCCCGAUCUUUGCAUUGGGAGCAGUGGACUUGGGUUUGCUGCUUCACCGUCGCUUACCUCAAAUAGGUUAGUGCAACUCUUGGUUGGACAUAGUACGGCGUGAUAAGUGUUCUUCGCCGGUGCCUCGCAAAGAGGGUGGCCGAUCGGGAUGUUGUGCUCCAAACCGUCUUCGGACAAUCUCUGACGACUUGACCUCAAAUCGAGUAAGACUACCCGCUGAACUUAAGCAUAUCAAUAAGCGGAGGA
This 379-nucleotide unclassified non-coding RNA is filed under the name soil metagenome. RNAcentral's name for it is "partial contains 5.8S ribosomal RNA, internal transcribed spacer 2, and large subunit ribosomal RNA". The stretch from base 1 to 119 matches the Rfam family "5.8S ribosomal RNA", at positions 35 to 154 of the family's 154-position model. The record is from RNAcentral.